GAUGAACGCUAGCUACAGGCUUAACACAUGCAAGUCGAGGGGAAACGACAUCGAAAGCUUGCUUUUGAUGGGCGUCGACCGGCGCACGGGUGAGUAACGCGUAUCCAACCUGCCCACCACUUGGGGAUAACCUUGCGAAAGUAAGACUAAUACCCAAUGAUAUCCCACGAAGACAUCUGAAUGGGAUUAAAGAUUUAUCGGUGAUGGAUGGGGAUGCGUCUGAUUAGCUUGUUGGCGGGGUAACGGCCCACCAAGGCAACGAUCAGUAGGGGUUCUGAGAGGAAGGUCCCCCACAUUGGAACUGAGACACGGUCCAAACUCCUACGGGAGGCAGCAGUGAGGAAUAUUGGUCAAUGGGCGAGAGCCUGAACCAGCCAAGUAGCGUGCAGGAAGACGGCCCUAUGGGUGGUAAACUGCUUUUAUAAGGGAAUAAAGUGGGUCACGUGUGACUUUUUGCAUGUACCUUAUGAAUAAGGACCGGCUAAUUCCGUG
RNAcentral lists this ribosomal RNA (492 nucleotides) under uncultured bacterium. RNAcentral describes it as "partial 16S ribosomal RNA". It matches the Rfam family "Bacterial small subunit ribosomal RNA", at positions 28 to 507 of the family's 1533-position model. The record is from RNAcentral.